AGCGAACGCUGGCGGCAGGCUUAACACAUGCAAGUCGAACGGGCCCUUUCGGGGGUCAGUGGCAGACGGGUGAGUAACACGUGGGAACGUACCUUUCGGUUCGGGAUAACCCAGGGAAACUUGGGCUAAUACCGGAUACGUCCUUAGGGAGAAAGAUUGAUUUGCCGAGAGAUCGGCCCGCGUCUGAUUAGCUAGUUGGUGAGGUAAUGGCUCACCAAGGCGACGAUCAGUAGCUGGUCUGAGAGGAUGAUCAGCCACACUGGGACUGAGACACGGCCCAGACUCCUACGGGAGGCAGCAGUGGGGAAUCUUGCGCAAUGGUCUAACGACUGACGCAGCGACGCCGCGUGUGGGAGGACGCCUUUCGGGUGUAACCACUGUUGCCGGGACGAACAGCCCUUUCGAGGGUCGUGACGGUACCGGGUGAGGAAGCACCGCUAACUCCGUGCCAGCCGCCGCAGUAAU
Molecule: ribosomal RNA, 465 nt
Filed under: uncultured bacterium
Lineage: Bacteria
Description: bacterial SSU rRNA
Rfam family: Bacterial small subunit ribosomal RNA
Source: RNAcentral